Molecule: ribosomal RNA, 403 nt
Filed under: uncultured bacterium
Lineage: Bacteria
Description: bacterial SSU rRNA
Rfam family: Bacterial small subunit ribosomal RNA
Source: RNAcentral
AAUUAACGCUGGCAGAGUGCAUAACACAUGCAAGUCGAGCGGAACUAUCUGCGAUUACAUCAAGGGUAGUUUAGCGGCAGACGAGUGAGUAACACGUAAGCAACCUACCCCUGAAUGGUGAACAACCAUCCGAAAGGAUGGCUAAUACGCCGUGACGUCCCCUCGGGGGCGAUCUCCGGGGGAGUUAGAGACCCGCAAGGGUCGGUUCGGGGAGGGGCCCGCGGCCUAUCAGCUUGUUGGGGGGUGAUGGCCUACCAAGGCGACGACGGGUAGCCGGCCUGAGAGGGCGACCGGUCACACUGGGACUGAGACACGGCCCAGACUCCUACGGGAGGCAGCAGUGGGGAAUCUUGCGCAAUGGGCGAAAGCCUGACGCAGCGACGCCGCGUGAGGGAUGACGGCU